RNAcentral lists this ribosomal RNA (484 nucleotides) under uncultured bacterium. RNAcentral's name for it is "partial 16S ribosomal RNA". It matches the Rfam family "Bacterial small subunit ribosomal RNA", at positions 30 to 507 of the family's 1533-position model. The record is from RNAcentral.
AUUGAACGCUGGCGGCAGGCCUAACACAUGCAAGUCGAGCGGAUGAAGGGAGCUUGCUCCUGGAUUCAGCGGCGGACGGGUGAGUAAUGCCUAGGAAUCUGCCUGGUAGUGGGGGAUAACGUCCGGAAACGGGCGCUAAUACCGCGUACGUCCUGCGGGAGAAAGUGGGGGAUCUUCGGACCUCACGCUAUCAGAUGAGCCUAGGUCGGAUUAGCUAGUUGGUGGGGUAAGGGCCUACCAAGGCGACGAUCCGUAACUGGUCUGAGAGGAUGAUCAGUCACACUGGAACUGAGACACGGUCCAGACUCCUACGGGAGGCAGCAGUGGGGAAUAUUGGACAAUGGGCGAAAGCCUGAUCCAGCCAUGCCGCGUGUGUGAAGAAGGUCUUCGGAUUGUAAAGCACUUUAAGUUGGGAGGAAGGGCAGUAAGUUAUUACCUUGCUGUUUUGACGUUACCAACAGAAUAAGCACCGGCUAACUUCGUG